RNAcentral lists this ribosomal RNA (482 nucleotides) under uncultured bacterium. RNAcentral describes it as "partial 16S ribosomal RNA". It matches the Rfam family "Bacterial small subunit ribosomal RNA", at positions 30 to 507 of the family's 1533-position model. The record is from RNAcentral.
AUUGAACGCUGGCGGCAUGCUUUACACAUGCAAGUCGAACGGUAACAGGCCGCAAGGUGCUGACGAGUGGCGGACGGGUGAGUAAUGCAUCGGAACGUGCCCAGUCGUGGGGGAUAACUACUCGAAAGAGUAGCUAAUACCGCAUACGAUCUAUGGAUGAAAGCGGGGGACCGUAAGGCCUCGCGCGAUUGGAGCGGCCGAUGUCAGAUUAGGUAGUUGGUGGGGUAAAGGCUCACCAAGCCAACGAUCUGUAGCUGGUCUGAGAGGACGACCAGCCACACUGGGACUGAGACACGGCCCAGACUCCUACGGGAGGCAGCAGUGGGGAAUUUUGGACAAUGGGCGCAAGCCUGAUCCAGCAAUGCCGCGUGCAGGAAGAAGGCCUUCGGGUUGUAAACUGCUUUUGUACGGAACGAAACGGCUCUGGUUAAUACCCGGGGCUAAUGACGGUACCGUAAGAAUAAGCACCGGCUAACUACGUG